Molecule: ribosomal RNA, 484 nt
Filed under: Streptomyces niveus
Lineage: Bacteria; Bacillati; Actinomycetota; Actinomycetes; Kitasatosporales; Streptomycetaceae
Description: bacterial SSU rRNA
Rfam family: Bacterial small subunit ribosomal RNA
Source: RNAcentral
UGGCGAACGGGUGAGUAACACGUGGGCAAUCUGCCCUGCACUCUGGGACAAGCCCUGGAAACGGGGUCUAAUACCGGAUAACACUGUCCCCCUCAUGGGGGGCGGUUGAAAGCUCCGGCGGUGCAGGAUGAGCCCGCGGCCUAUCAGCUUGUUGGUGGGGUAAUGGCCUACCAAGGCGACGACGGGUAGCCGGCCUGAGAGGGCGACCGGCCACACUGGGACUGAGACACGGCCCAGACUCCUACGGGAGGCAGCAGUGGGGAAUAUUGCACAAUGGGCGAAAGCCUGAUGCAGCGACGCCGCGUGAGGGAUGACGGCCUUCGGGUUGUAAACCUCUUUCAGCAGGGAAGAAGCGAAAGUGACGGUACCUGCAGAAGAAGCGCCGGCUAACUACGUGCCAGCAGCCGCGGUAAUACGUAGGGCGCAAGCGUUGUCCGGAAUUAUUGGGCGUAAAGAGCUCGUAGGCGGUCUGUCACGUCGGGUG